UACUCGAGUGGCGAACGGGUGAGUAACACGUGGGUGAUCUGCCCUGCACUUCGGGAUAAGCUUGGGAAACUGGGUCUAAUACCGGAUAGGAACCAUCUUUAGUGUGGUGGUUGGAAAGUUUUUUCGGUGUAGGAUGAGCUCGCGGCCUAUCAGCUUGUUGGUGGGGUAAUGGCCUACCAAGGCGGCGACGGGUAGCCGGCCUGAGAGGGUGUACGGCCACACUGGGACUGAGAUACGGCCCAG
RNAcentral lists this ribosomal RNA (243 nucleotides) under uncultured Actinomycetales bacterium. RNAcentral describes it as "partial 16S ribosomal RNA". It matches the Rfam family "Bacterial small subunit ribosomal RNA", at positions 88 to 334 of the family's 1533-position model. Lineage: Bacteria; Bacillati; Actinomycetota; Actinomycetes; Actinomycetales. The record is from RNAcentral.